This 372-nucleotide unclassified non-coding RNA is filed under the name uncultured Dehalococcoidia bacterium. RNAcentral's name for it is "contains 16S-23S intergenic spacer region". Lineage: Bacteria; Bacillati; Chloroflexota; Dehalococcoidia. The record is from RNAcentral.
UCCUCCUUGUGGGAGGCUGUCUCGCUAGAGAAAUUAACUAGCGACGAGGGUUGCGCUCGUUGCGGGACUUAACCCAACACCUCACGGCACGAGCUGACGACAACCAUGCAGCACCUGUGCUAGCUUCCUGAGUUACCCCAGGAUCAUCGCCCUUUCGGGUUCUUACUACUAGUAUGUCAAGCCCAGGUAAGGUUUUUCGUUUAGCAUCGAAUUAAACCACACGCUCCACCGCUUGUGCGGGCCCCCGUCAAUUCUUUUGAGUUUUAGCCUUGCGGCCGUACUCCCCAGGCGGAAUGCUUAUCGCGUUAGCUGCGGCACAGGGGGGGUCGAUACCCCCUAUACCUAGCAUUCAUUGUUUAGGGCGUGGACUAC